This 72-nucleotide transfer RNA is filed under the name Camelus bactrianus (Bactrian camel). It matches the Rfam family "tRNA". From Rfam's summary of the family: Transfer RNA (tRNA) molecules are approximately 80 nucleotides in length. Their secondary structure includes four short double-helical elements and three loops (D, anti-codon, and T loops). Lineage: Eukaryota; Metazoa; Chordata; Mammalia; Artiodactyla; Camelidae. RNAcentral also lists the same sequence under 1 other name. The record is from Rfam by way of RNAcentral.
GAGGGUAUAGCUCAGUGGUAGAGCACGUGCUUAGCAUGCACAAGGUCCUGGGUUCAAGCCCCAGUAUCUCCA